RNA transcript from Sorghum bicolor (sorghum), 1749 nucleotides. It is a transcript of the gene named putative D-cysteine desulfhydrase 2, mitochondrial, with no coding region annotated. The record is from RefSeq and is a predicted model, not a curated record. NCBI's taxonomy places the organism in Eukaryota, Viridiplantae, Streptophyta, Magnoliopsida, Poales, Poaceae. The transcript is spliced from 7 exons.
ACAGACUCAGCUAAGAAACGAACCAAACACACCCAUACUCCCGUACUGUACUACGCUCUUGACGCCGCUGCCUCCCUCAACCCUAUUAUGCGGCCGACGCCGGCGCUUGCCGCCGGCGGACGCACGGUCGCAAGCUUCCUAUCCGCCACGGAAUGGAUGCUUCCGUCUCCGGCCACCCAAGUCCACACCAUCUCCGUCCUUCCCUCUCGUCUCGAGUUCGCCUUCUCCAACCUCACGACGUCGCUCAGGAAUGGCGGCGGCAACGGUAGUGAGACUGGCAAUCCUAAGUUCCAGAUAGUACGGGACGACCUCCUCCACCCGCUCGCCAACGGCAACAAGGCGCGCAAGCUCGACGCCCUCCUGCCCGUCCUCCGCCACUGCGGCGCUACUGACAUCGUUACAUGUGGGGGUUGCCAGAGCGCUCAUGCCGCAGCAGUUGCGGUUCAUUGUGCCGAGUGGGGAAUCAGGCCACAUAUACUGCUGAGAGGCGAGCAACUGGAUGUUCCCACAGGGUAUAAUCUGAUCUCAUUGAUGUUUGGCAAUGUGACAUAUGCCUCUCGGUCUUUGUAUGCCCAAAGAGAUGAGAUGCUUUAUGAGCAUGCCAUAAAGGUUGCAGGAUGUAGUGGCACAGUGAUGUGGGCAGAUGAAAUUAUAGGAAAGGAUUUGGGUUUAGAUGAGGACACCACUGAUGGAAAUGGUUCAAGAAAAGUAAUGAUUGUUAAGGAAGGGGCAGGUAGUGUUCAAGCACUGCUUGGUGUCAUGCGGCUACUGGAGUAUCUUUCUGGUUUGACAUUAUUUGGGAAGGAUGAGAAAGUUCAUAUCGUUGUAGAUUCUGGAACAGGCACAACAGCUGUGGGGUUAGCUCUUGGAGCGGUAUGUCUAGGACUCCAGUGGAGGGUUACCGGUGUUAUGCUUGCUGACACACUUGAAAGAUAUAAACAACGAGAGAGAUCUCUUGUAUCUGAUUUUGAGAAGGUUUUCCCACAAAUCUACCAUGGAAUGGUGGAAGAUGCUACUCAUGACAAUCUAGUUCAAUGGGUGGAGCGCUUUUCACCUAGAAGUUCUGUAAUUUGUGGAUAACAUUCAGGAUUCAGCAUAUUCAGAACCAAGCUCUACUGUCAGAAGAUAACAUUCCAGAUUCAACAUAUUCAGAACAUUGUAAUUUGUGGGUAUCCAUCUACUAAAUUGUUUCAGUGGUAUCCCAAUUGUCAUCAAAGAUAUCAUCCACCUUCUCUCUAGAGGAAUCAACACACAAUAUUUGGCAAGGUGCUGGAAGGUGAAAUCGCAAUGUGCCGCCAGGUAGCUCAACAGACCGGUAUCCUGCUAGAUCCAAUGUACACCUUGGCUGCCUGGGAGCAAGCUGUUGAUCUAUGCUGUGGAGACAGUGCAGCCAAAGUCUUGAUGAUCCAUACGGGUGGCACCCUUGGCCUUUUUGGAUUGGCACAAAGGUAUUCACCACAGUUCACCACAGGCGAACAAUCAUAAGCAGGCCAAACCCAACGUUGAUGUGCAAAUGUUACGGUUUGUGGGUAUGGAAUGUGAUCUUUGACUUUGAAUAAUCAAAAGUAGAAAAAAGCUGUUUUUCCCUUGCGGGGUGCGCUCCCUUUGUAAAAGGGAUUGGUCUUGAUAUUGGUUUGCUUUGAAAAUGGCCUUGUGCUGUGACCGUUGCGGCUACAUUUAUGGUUCAGGAGUCAUGAGUCAUGACCACUACUUCCACUUUUAUGCUGAUGACCCGUAGCGAUCGUUCUA